UGGGGAAUAUUGGACAAUGGGCGAAAGCCUGAUCCAGCAAUGCCGCGUGAGUGAUGAAGGCCUUAGGGUUGUAAAGCUCUUUUACCAGGGAUGAUAAUGACAGUACCUGGAGAAUAAGCUCCGGCUAACUCCGUGCCAGCAGCCGCGGUAAUACGGAGGGAGCUAGCGUUGUUCGGAAUUACUGGGCGUAAAGCGCACGUAGGCGGCGAUUCAAGUCAGAGGUGAAAGCCCGGGGCUCAACCCCGGAACUGCCUUUGAAACUAGAUUGCUAGAAUCCUGGAGAGGUUAGUGGAAUUCCGAGUGUAGAGGUGAAAUUCGUAGAUAUUCGGAAGAACACCAGUGGCGAAGGCGACUAACUGGACAGGUAUUGACGCUGAGGUGCGAAAGCGUGGGGAGCAAACAGG
RNAcentral lists this ribosomal RNA (404 nucleotides) under uncultured bacterium. RNAcentral describes it as "bacterial SSU rRNA". It matches the Rfam family "Bacterial small subunit ribosomal RNA", at positions 355 to 776 of the family's 1533-position model. RNAcentral also lists the same sequence under 1 other name. The record is from RNAcentral.